CAGGCGGCUUGCUUAAUGCGUUAGCUGCGAUACUGAAAAUAAAUUUCCAACAUCUAGCAAUCAUCGUUUAUGGUAUGGACUACGAGGGUAUCUAAUCCUCUUUGCUACCCAUACUUUCGCGCCUCAGCGUCAGUGUUGAUCCAGAAAGCCGCCUUCGCAACUGGUGUUCUACAUAAUAUCUACGAAUUUCACCUCUACACUAUGUAUUCCGCUUUCCUCUAUCAAACUCUAGUCGAGCAGUUUUAAUUGCAGUUCCAAAGUUAAGCUUUGGGAUUUCACAAUUAACUAACUCAACGGCCUACGCGCGCUUUACGCCCAGUAAUUCCGAACUACGCUAGGUCCCUUCGUAUUACCGCGGCUGCUGGCACGAAGUUAGCCGGACCUUAUUCUUAGGGUACAGUCAUUAUCUUCCCCUACAAAAGAGCUUUACAACCCAAAGGCCUUCUUCACUCACGCGGCAUCGCUGCAUCAGAGUUUCCUCCAUUGNGGAAGAUUCCAA
RNAcentral lists this ribosomal RNA (499 nucleotides) under uncultured bacterium. Its description in RNAcentral is "partial 16S ribosomal RNA". The record is from RNAcentral.